AAAAAAAUUUAAAAAAAAAAACCUUAAAAAUCAAAAGGAAAACAUGACAACGUAGAGGGGAUUUAAACCCCAAAUCCCUUAUCUCAUAAUUCCUAAUCUGCGAACACAAGUAUUUGAGUCCCACUCGUUGACGUGGUUUGCACAUGGAGAAACAACCGGCCUUAGAGAACCAAGACAUGGUUUGAAGAGAUGAAUAAGAUGAUCGCUUGUGAAUCAACGAUUUGGUGGCCAAUCUUCUGCCUCCUGCGACUACAAGUCUACAACUAGUAAUCUCCUUGCCCCUCCUUCAACCACAACAGCAGCCAGCUCCCUCUAUUCUUCUUCCUCCUCAGACCUUGUCACAGAUGAAUGGUUUGCUUUAAUACCCAAAACCACCAUAUCCCUAUACCCCUAGACUGAAUGUCUCCUUCCACUACCACCAUUGAUCAUAAGAGUGGCGAUCUUGUUGAUGCCUAGAGGAGUACCAACACCAUAGACUUCAUGAAGAAUUGGGGUCAGAUUAUCGUUAUGGAAAGCAGAUAACAGAGGUGUCGGUAGUGCCAAGGCUGGUAGGGUAAGCUUCAGGGGAGGCAAUGGCAGAGAAGGAAGAGAAGCCGUAGGAGGAGCAGAGUGAUCAACUGGCAAUGGUUCCUGCCAUGGUUAAUUAGAUGGGUAAGUUCUUUCAUUCAACUUAUAGAUGGAUGAAUAUUUGGGUUGUUUGUGUUGUUUGCAUUGGAAUUUGGCUUGUUUGUGUCAUUUGGGCAAGACAAUAAUUGGAGAAAUUAUGGGUUGUUUCUGUCCUUAGUGCAGAUUAAAGAAGACGGGGAGGGAAAGAGAGAGGUUGGGUAGUUUGCAGAGAGAAAGAGAGAGAGAGAGA
RNAcentral lists this unclassified non-coding RNA (856 nucleotides) under Hevea brasiliensis (rubber tree). The record is from RNAcentral. Lineage: Eukaryota; Viridiplantae; Streptophyta; Magnoliopsida; Malpighiales; Euphorbiaceae.